GGACGAACGCUGGCGGCGUGCUUAACACAUGCAAGUCGAACGGAAAGGCCCUGCUUUUGUGGGGUGCUCGAGUGGCGAACGGGUGAGUAACACGUGAGUAACCUGCCCUUGACUUUGGGAUAACUUCAGGAAACUGGGGCUAAUACCGGAUAGGAGCUCCUGCUGCAUGGUGGGGGUUGGAAAGUUUCGGCGGUUGGGGAUGGACUCGCGGCUUAUCAGCUUGUUGGUGGGGUAGUGGCUUACCAAGGCUUUGACGGGUAGCCGGCCUGAGAGGGUGACCGGCCACAUUGGGACUGAGAUACGGCCCAGACUCCUACGGGAGGCAGCAGUGGGGAAUAUUGCACAAUGGGCGGAAGCCUGAUGCAGCAACGCCGCGUGCGGGAGGACGGCCUUCGGGUGGUAAACCGCUUUCGCCUGUGACGAAGCGUGAGUGACGGUAAUGGGUAAAGAAGCACCGGCUAACUACGU
This 468-nucleotide ribosomal RNA is filed under the name uncultured bacterium. Its description in RNAcentral is "partial 16S ribosomal RNA". It matches the Rfam family "Bacterial small subunit ribosomal RNA", at positions 27 to 506 of the family's 1533-position model. The record is from RNAcentral.